RNAcentral lists this ribosomal RNA (402 nucleotides) under bacterium. RNAcentral's name for it is "partial 16S ribosomal RNA". It matches the Rfam family "Bacterial small subunit ribosomal RNA", at positions 355 to 776 of the family's 1533-position model. The record is from RNAcentral.
UGGGGAAUUUUGCACAAUGGGGGCAACCCUGAUGCAGCGACGCCGCGUGAUUUAGACGGCCUUCGGGUUGUAAAAAUCUUUUCUAUGGGACGAAAAUGACAGUACCAUAGGCAUACGGACCGGCUAAUCACGUGCCAGCAGCCGCGGUAAUACGUAAGGUCCAAGCGUUGUCCGGAAUCAUUGGGCGUAAAGGGUACGUAGGCGGGUAAGCAAGUUAGAAGUGAAAUCCUAUAGCUCAACUAUAGUAAGCUUUUAAAACUGCUCAUCUUGAGGUAUGGAAGAGAAAGUGGAAUUCCUAGUGUAGCAGUGAAAUGCGCAGAUAUGAGGAGGAAUACCGGUGGCGAAGGCGGCUUUCUGGCCAUAACCUGACGCGGAGGUACGAAAGCGUGGGUAGCAAACAGG